CAAAUGGGUUUAUAAGAUCAAGUAUAAGGCUGAUGGUAGUGUUGAAAGACACAAAGCCAGACUUGUUAUUAGAGGGGAUACUCAAGUUGAAGGGGUGGAUUUUACUGAUACUUUUUCUCCUGUGGUUAAAAUGUCCACUGUGAAGUGUCUUAUUGCAGUGGCUGUUAAGAAGCAUUGGACACUUUUUCAACUUGAUGUUAACAAUGCAUUCUUGCAUGGUGGUUUGGAUGAGGAGGUUUAUGCGAAGCUUCCCCCAGGUUUAUCCGUCUCUGUAUCUUCUUCUGACUCUGUCUCUUCUCCAUCUCCUCCUCUUGUAUGUAAAUUGAAAAAAACCCUAUAUGGGUUGAGGCAGGCAUCCAGACAUUGGUAUGCCAAGUUGUCCUUUGCCCUUUAUUCCAGAAGCUAUAGUCAUUCUAUGAAUGAUUAUUCUCUGUUUAUCAAAGGCCAGCCUGGCUGUUUGGUUAUUGUAGCAGUCUAUGUGGAUGACAUUAUCAUCACUGGGGAUGACAAUGAUGAGCUAUCUACCCUGAAGCUGUUUUUGGAUGAUCAGUUCAGGAUCAAAGACCUUGGGUCUUUGCAUUAUUUUCUGGGCAUUGAGAUGUCUGUAGUUCCUGGUGGGAUGCGCUAUCUGCCCUGAAGCUGUUUUUGGAUGAUCAGUUCAGGAUCAAAGACCUUGGGUCUUUGCAUUAUUUUUUGGGCAUUGAGAUAUCUGUAGUUCCUGGUGGGAUGCUCCUCAAUCAGCAUAAAUAUGUUUCAGACCUGUUGCAUCAGUUUGACUGUAUGAAUGUUUCUUCGGUUGUUUGUCCUUUGGAUCUUAACGUGAAACUCCAUGCUGAUUCUGGUGACAUUCUUUCCUCUCCUGAACAAUAUAGAAGCAUUGUUGGUAAGCUCUUAUUUCUGACUCACACCAGGCCUGACAUCUGCUUUGCUGCUCAGCAUCUGAGUCAAUAUUUGAAGUGUCCCAGAGUCCCACAUAUGACUGCUGCUUUACAUGUUCUCAGAUAUCUAAAAGGGUCUAUGCAUUUGGGUUUGUUCUAUUCUGACUGUUCUGAUUUGUCUGUCCAUGCCUAUUCUGA
This 1076-nucleotide long non-coding RNA is filed under the name Nicotiana benthamiana. RNAcentral's name for it is "long non-coding RNA (NBEN_LNC021719)". The record is from RNAcentral. Lineage: Eukaryota; Viridiplantae; Streptophyta; Magnoliopsida; Solanales; Solanaceae.